GACGAACGCUGGCGGCGUGCUUAACACAUGCAAGUCGAGCGGUAAGGCCCCUUCGGGGUACGACGAGCGGCGAACGGGACGAGUAACACGUGGGUGACCUCGCCCUCCAGCUCUGGGAGUAAGCCUGGGAAACGUGGGUCGUAAUACCGGAUAUGACUCCAUGACGCAUGUCGUGGGGUGGAAAGCCUUGUGCGGCUGGGGAGUGGGCCCGCGGCCUAUCAGCUUGUUGGUGGGGUGAUGGCCUACCAAGGCGACGACGGGUAGCCGGCCUGAGAGGGCGACCGGCCACACUGGGACUGAGACACGGCCCAGACUCCUACGGGAGGCAGCAGUGGGGAAUCUUGCGCAAUGGGCGAAAGCCUGACGCAGCGACGCCGCGUGAGGGAUGACGGCCU
Molecule: ribosomal RNA, 395 nt
Filed under: uncultured bacterium
Lineage: Bacteria
Description: bacterial SSU rRNA
Rfam family: Bacterial small subunit ribosomal RNA
Source: RNAcentral